Long non-coding RNA from Bufo bufo (common toad), 138 nucleotides. RefSeq lists it as uncharacterized. The transcript is spliced from 3 exons. NCBI's taxonomy places the organism in Eukaryota, Metazoa, Chordata, Amphibia, Anura, Bufonidae. The record is from RefSeq and is a predicted model, not a curated record.
AAGUAACUGUAAUUUGACGAAAAAGAAUACCGAGAUAGUAGCCGCACAUCUAUAAAAAUAUCAAAUUUAUUUAAAGCAACAGACACAACAAAGAAUGGGUUAAAAACAUUGUAUACAAUGAAUCUGGGUCAUGUGAAC